RNAcentral lists this ribosomal RNA (492 nucleotides) under uncultured bacterium. Its description in RNAcentral is "partial 16S ribosomal RNA". It matches the Rfam family "Bacterial small subunit ribosomal RNA", at positions 29 to 507 of the family's 1533-position model. The record is from RNAcentral.
AGUGAACGCUGGCGGUAGGCCUAACACAUGCAAGUCGAACGGCAGCACAGUAAGAGCUCGCUCUUACGGGUGGCGAGUGGCGGACGGGUGAGGAAUACAUCGGAAUCUACUUUUUCGUGGGGGAUAACGUAGGGAAACUUACGCUAAUACCGCAUACGACCUACGGGUGAAAGCAGGGGAUCUUCGGACCUUGCGCGAUUGAAUGAGCCGAUGUCGGAUUAGCUAGUUGGCGGGGUAAAGGCCCACCAAGGCGACGAUCCGUAGCUGGUCUGAGAGGAUGAUCAGCCACACUGGAACUGAGACACGGUCCAGACUCCUACGGGAGGCAGCAGUGGGGAAUAUUGGACAAUGGGCGCAAGCCUGAUCCAGCCAUACCGCGUGGGUGAAGAAGGCCUUCGGGUUGUAAAGCCCUUUUGUUGGGAAAGAGAAGCAGCAGGUUAAUACCCCGCUGUUCUGACGGUACCCAAAGAAUAAGCACCGGCUAACUUCGUG